This 75-nucleotide transfer RNA is filed under the name Candidatus Phytoplasma asiaticum. Its description in RNAcentral is "'Parthenium hysterophorus' phyllody phytoplasma tRNA-Val". It matches the Rfam family "tRNA". From Rfam's summary of the family: Transfer RNA (tRNA) molecules are approximately 80 nucleotides in length. Their secondary structure includes four short double-helical elements and three loops (D, anti-codon, and T loops). Lineage: Bacteria; Bacillati; Mycoplasmatota; Mollicutes; Acholeplasmatales; Acholeplasmataceae. The record is from RNAcentral.
AGAGAAUUAGCUCAGCUGGGAGAGCGUCUGCCUUACAAGCAGAAGGUCGGGGGUUCGAUCCCUCAUUCUCUACCA